Molecule: ribosomal RNA, 222 nt
Filed under: uncultured Glomeromycotina
Lineage: Eukaryota; Fungi; Glomeromycota
Description: partial 18S ribosomal RNA
Rfam family: Eukaryotic small subunit ribosomal RNA (bases 42-222)
Source: RNAcentral
GGAUCAGUUGGUCGGUCGUGCCUCGGUACGUACUGGUCAAAUUGAUUCCUACCUUCUGACGAACCACGAUGUCAUUAAUUUGGUGUCGCGGGAAAUCAGGACUGUUACUUUGAAAAAUUAGAGUGUUUAAAGCAGGCUCGCGCUUGAAUACAUUAGCAUGGAAUAAUGAAAUAGGACGUUUGAUUCUAUUUUGUUGGUUUCUAGGAUCGACGUAAUGAUUAA